ACACACCUCUCUGGGCAGGGAAAAACAGCCUUCCCAAAAAUGUUGCGUCAUUCACACCAAAAUCGCUCAGUCAGUCCAAUCUCCUAAUCCACUGAACUCCGCUUUCCGGCAAAUUGAUACUACAAAAGCAUACCGAACUGAGUAUUCGAACAGAAGCCCAAGAUAGGUAACACAUGUAUUCGAAACAUGACAAAUGUAUCUAAAAGUAAUUAUAUAUUCCACAAUUUCCAUGUAUAGAAGAGUCCUCCAUGGAUGGGUUCAACAAGGAGAUGAAAACUUCUAUAGACAAACAUGACAUAUACAGGUGAUGCCACAUAUGAGUGGCCCUUGCAGAUUUUCUCUUACUGUGUUUGGUGUCUUUGCGUUGGAUAUUAACAUUACAAGAAAACAAGAAAGGGAGAGAAUGGUUUCUCUUUUACAGAAAAUGAAGUUUGGCACUUUGAUCUUAUGAAGGGGAAUACAUCCAUCAGGCUACGGAAAGCAAAUAGGAGGUUGGCUUGAGGAUGGAAACGUUGGCAAGGAACAAUCAUGCCAAGGUAAAGCAUAUCCGCUCCAUCCCCUGCCUGCAGAUUAUCUAUUCCAAGCUAAAUCAUAUCUUGGGGGCCCAAACUUCCGUAAAAAUACUGUGAAUUUGUUAAUCCUUUUCUGAAUAAUGCAACUUUCUUGGUCACAUAAAAUGCAUAUGCAUAUGUCUUGUGUUUUAGUGUAGAAUAUGCACUGUAACUUUACUCUAGCACUGAAAUUGGGUGUUAUUCCCACUGCGGAGAUAAUGCUAUAUUUAGGGAUUCCAAAGGGUAGGAAGCUUUAGUGGGGAAAGCGCUCCAAAACUUUUACGCUAUGGGGCAGGCAACAUUGUUCUCUACGUUUUACCAUAUUGGAUACUAUAUUUUUGUUGGGUAAAUUCAAGUUUCAUAGUACCAAGGAACUAAUUAAGACAAGUGGAGAUAGGUUAUAAGAUAAUACAUUGAAAUGUGGAGCAAAGCUGUAGCAAUAAAAGGCUUUUUCCAUUGUUUUUUUUUUUUUUUUGCAAAGUACUCAACAAUUGACAUUUACUUUUGGUUGUAUUUUUUUUUUUUUUGCUCGGCUACUUUUGGUUGUAUUAAGAAGAAAUGCGGUUCCUACCUCAACAUAUGAAUGGGGUAGGAUAGUCCACAAUCCAAGACUACUUGCAUAGCCUGAGCAUGUACCUCUAGCUAAAAAAAAAAAAAAAAGGAAGUAUACACAUUUUCUUUUGGUUGUAUUAAGGCAUUGUAUGAAAAUUUUGGGAAGAUCAAAAGGAAGUCUAUGCAUUUGAUGUGUUUUGAUCAUGAAUUUGUUGCCUUUUACGGAGAGUAAGAAAGGUAGCGAAAAAAAUUUCCUAGGCUUCCUUACCAUGUUUCUUUGACUAAUAACUCCAUUCAUAGAUCCAUGGCAUGAACACAAUCUAUGUGCUCAAUGUCAUUGGAAGGGCUCAAAUCAUUUAGAUUUUUAGAGUUAGACAACAUUUUCAUUAUAGAAAUAAAGCGUUGGAAGACGAAGUUUAGAAGAGAUUGAAUUUCUUGAGGAAAAAAAGUUUAUGCACAUUAAAAGAAGGAUUAGUUAGUAAAGUUGACUCUCUGAUAUUCUUGAUGAUUCACAU
Rhododendron vialii is the source of this 1618-nucleotide long non-coding RNA. RefSeq lists it as uncharacterized. The transcript has 3 exons. Lineage: Eukaryota; Viridiplantae; Streptophyta; Magnoliopsida; Ericales; Ericaceae. The record is from RefSeq and is a predicted model, not a curated record.